AGAACUUAGCAGAGAUGCUUUGGUGCCUUCGGGAACUCUGAGACAGGUGCUGCAUGGCUGUCGUCAGCUCGUGUUGUGAAAUGUUGGGUUAAGUCCCGCAACGAGCGCAACCCUUAUCCUUUGUUGCCAGCGGUUAGGCCGGGAACUCAAAGGAGACUGCCAGUGAUAAACUGGAGGAAGGUGGGGAUGACGUCAAGUCAUCAUGGCCCUUACGAGUAGGGCUACACACGUGCCACAAUGGCGCAUACAAAGAGAAGCGACCUCGCGAGAGCAAGCGGACCUCAUAAAGUGCGUCGUAGUCCGGAUUGGAGUCUGCAACUCGACUCCAUGAAGUCGGAAUCGCUAGUAAUCGUGGAUCAGAAUGCCACAGUGAAUACGUUCCCGGGCCUUGUACACACCGCCCGUCACACCAUGGGAGUGGGUUGCAAAAGAAGUAGGUAGCUUAACCUUCGGGAGGGCGCUUACCACUUUGUGAUUCAUGACUGGGGUGAAGUCGUAACAAGGUAAGCGUAGUGCU
This 517-nucleotide ribosomal RNA is filed under the name uncultured bacterium. RNAcentral's name for it is "bacterial SSU rRNA". It matches the Rfam family "Bacterial small subunit ribosomal RNA", at positions 992 to 1509 of the family's 1533-position model. The record is from RNAcentral.